Molecule: ribosomal RNA, 467 nt
Filed under: uncultured bacterium
Lineage: Bacteria
Description: partial 16S ribosomal RNA
Rfam family: Bacterial small subunit ribosomal RNA
Source: RNAcentral
CUACGGGGCGCAGCAGUGAGGAAUUUUGCGCAAUGGGCGAAAGCCUGACGCAGCAACGCCGCGUGAGUGAUGAAGGCUUUCGGGUCGUAAAGCUCUGUCAAGUGGGAAGAACCUGUAAAGUGCCAAUACCACUUUGCACUGACGGUACCACUGAAGGAAGCACCGGCUAACUCCGUGCCAGGCAGCCGCGGUAAUACGGGGGGGUGCAAGCGUUACUCGGAAUCAUUGGGCGUAAAGGGCGCGCAGGCGGCCCAGUAAGUCAGAUGUGAAAGCCCGGGGCUCAACCCCGGAAGUGCAUUUGAUACUGUUGGGCUCGAGUAUGGGAGAGGAAAGUGGAAUUCCUGGUGUAGAGGUGAAAUUCGUAGAUAUCAGGAGGAACACCUGUGGCGAAGGCGACUUUCUGGACCAAUACUGACGCUGAGGCGCGAAGGCGUGGGUAGCAAACAGGAUUAGAUACCCGCGUAGUC